CCGAGUUUACAACUCCCAAACCCCUGUGAACAUACCUAUACGUUGCCUCGGCGGAUCAGCCCGCGCCCCCGUAAAACGGGACGGCCCGCCGCAGGACCCACAAACCCUGAAUUUUAUUGUAACUUCUGAGUUUAAAAAACAAAUAAAUCA
RNAcentral lists this unclassified non-coding RNA (150 nucleotides) under soil metagenome. RNAcentral's name for it is "partial internal transcribed spacer 1". The record is from RNAcentral.